RNAcentral lists this ribosomal RNA (460 nucleotides) under uncultured bacterium. RNAcentral's name for it is "partial 16S ribosomal RNA". It matches the Rfam family "Bacterial small subunit ribosomal RNA", at positions 338 to 795 of the family's 1533-position model. The record is from RNAcentral.
CCUACGGGUGGCAGCAGUGAGGAAUAUUGGUCAAUGGGCGCGAGCCUGAACCAGCCAAGUAGCGUGAAGGAUGACUGCCCUACGGGUUGUAAACUUCUUUUAUAAUGGAAUAAAGCGAGGCACGUGUGCCUUUUUGCAUGUACUUUAUGAAUAAGGAUCGGCUAACUCCGUGCCAGCAGCCGCGGUAAUACGGAGGUUCCGAGCGUUAUCCGGAUUUACUGGGUUUAAAGGGCGCGUAGAUGGGUUGUUAAGUCAGUUGUGAAAGUUUGCGGCUCAACCGUAAAAUUGCAAUUGAUACUGGCAGCCUUGAGUGCAGUUGAGGUAGGCGGAAUUCGUGGUGUAGCGGUGAAAUGCGUAGAUAUCACGAGGAACUCCGAUUGCGAAGGCAGCUUACUAGACUGCCACUGACGUUGAUGCUCGAAAGUGUGGGUAUCAAACAGGAUUAGAUACCCGUGUAGUC